RNAcentral lists this transfer RNA (71 nucleotides) under Alphaproteobacteria bacterium. Its description in RNAcentral is "tRNA-Arg". It matches the Rfam family "tRNA". From Rfam's summary of the family: Transfer RNA (tRNA) molecules are approximately 80 nucleotides in length. Their secondary structure includes four short double-helical elements and three loops (D, anti-codon, and T loops). Lineage: Bacteria; Pseudomonadati; Pseudomonadota; Alphaproteobacteria. The record is from RNAcentral.
GUAGCUCAGCUGGAUAGAGCAACUGCCUUCUAAGCAGUAGGUCGCAGGUUCGAAUCCUGCCGGGGUCGCCA